AGACUAAAUUAUGAGUUCCAAUUCUGGGUAGGGCUUUCAAAAUAGAGCCCUGACCAGUGCUGAAUCAACUUGAAGAAUGAUGAAGGGUUGGCUUCUCUCUCUCAGCAGCUGUGAGUUUGGUCAGCCCUUUGCAAAAUUUCCUCCUAGGCACUUUUGUCUGAACCACGUGGCACAAAUUGGCAGAGAACAAGGAAAAGAAGAACAGAGGAAGGAGAAAAGGAGAAAAGUCAUUCUGCUGAAAACGAGCUGACUGAGUUGGCUUGGCUGUACAUAGGAGGAAGACCCUGAUCCCUGGUGCUCAACACAGAAAUGCUUCAAUGAUACCCUGAGAUUGUUUUACCUUGCAACACUCUCUGGAAAAUUGCUGCUCCAGGAAUGCGAUGAAAAGAUCUGUAAGAGAGCACAGCCCCUGUUGAUUGACUUGUCUUGAUCAAACCAGAGCUUCUGGCUGGGAUACUGGUAUCUUGAGUGAGUCACAGCAGGAGAUACGUGCUGGAGCUGAAGAGGUUGGAGAGGCAGCAGAAAAGGUAGGAGACAGCAAGAGAAGGAGAGCAGCCUACAGAUGAGAAGACAAGUAAUUUACCCUAAAGUUCUAGGACUGCUGUUGGUCAAAGGAAAAAUCCUUCUGAGAGAUUUUGAUUUUAGGUUUUGAUUCUACUUCUGUUUCUAUGAAUGCUAGAGAGAAGAAGAAGCCUAUGAAGUAUACAUUUUCAUAGUAUUUUAUAGAUAAGAAUCAGUGUAUUUAAGCUAUUAACUGAGUCACCUAAUUAGUUAAUGAAAGAGUUGGGAUUACAACCCAAGUGUGUUUGAUCUCAGGGACCACACUUUCUAAUUCACAAAUAAUCUUUCCCUAGUAGAAUCCAUACCAGUGUUUUCCAAACUUGUUUUUUCUGUGAGAUUAACAAAAGUAAAUUUAGAGUAUAAUCUGCAAUAAAAGUCGUUGUUGGUGGUGAAUUAGAGGCAAGAGUCAGAAAGACCAUGUAAUUGAAUAUGUGAAGCAACAGGGGUUUUCGCUAAUGGGCUGUGUUCCUGAAAAGGUAAGGAAAGAGAAAAUAAUGAGGACAAAGAAAUGAAUAAGGCAAGGAAAAGACAAUAAUAGAAGCUGAAACGAAGUGAAAGGAAAAACAGACCAUUUGCUAUAUUUCGCUUUAUUACCACCACCAUUCUUAGACAUCAGAAGAUUUAAAAAAAAUCACGGCAGUAACUUCUUGAAGUAAUAUUGAUAAAACUUGCUUCCAAAUAUUUAUAUUUUUUGUAACUAAAAGCAUAAUCAGAAUUCAGUGAUCCCUUUUUAAUGCCACAAGUAGUGCAAUGUUAACAAGCUAGACUGCAUGAUAUCCUGUUUAAGUGUGUGUCUGUGCGUGAGUGGGGCAGGGAGGGGGUCUUUG
Molecule: long non-coding RNA, 1388 nt
Filed under: Homo sapiens (human)
Lineage: Eukaryota; Metazoa; Chordata; Mammalia; Primates; Hominidae
Description: HSALNT0150774
Source: RNAcentral